Molecule: long non-coding RNA, 615 nt
Filed under: Capra hircus (goat)
Lineage: Eukaryota; Metazoa; Chordata; Mammalia; Artiodactyla; Bovidae
Description: lncRNA (ENSCHIG00000003559.1)
Source: RNAcentral
AGGGGAUUCUCUUUUCCUGGUUCAGCCUCUGUCUUACGUCCUGUGUUCCUGGGUUUAGGAACUGAGCUUUCUAUGUGAUCCAGCUUCUUCCCCAGUGAUGGAGGCUCUCUAACUGUCUGGUUUCAAGAUGAUUUUUCUGCACUUCUCCAAGCUUUACCGCGGGUGAACAACAGCAUGCGCACACGCUGCCCCCAGGAUGCAGGAAAUGCUUUUUGCUUUGGCACAGAUAGCUGGAGAAAUUGGAAAUUUGGAAACAAGUCAGAAACAAACGGUUAUUGAGUUCCUGUGUGACAAGCUAUUGCUGUAUGUGCUUGGGGUAAACGAUGGCACGGAGGACGCUGGCUCCUGCUGUGGGGAGAUUGAUUUACUGUGCACAGACAUUUGCUGCCCUUCCGCAUGUACGUGUUGGGCAUCUACCAAGUACCUGAGGACAUGCCAGGCAUUGAGGCUGAUGGAUGCGGCAGACAGGAGUCCUGCGGCUCCAGCUGAGGGCCUUAGCUGGCACGGCUGUCCUGACGUGGGCUGCCUUCCAUGGGCUGCAGAGGUCCAUCUCCAACCACCAGCCACUCAGGGACCCUGACAGCUGCUGGCAGUCUGCGUCCCCGCCACCGUCUG